GUCGAACGGGAAAGGCCCUUCGGGGUACUCGAGUGGCGAACGGGUGAGUAACACGUGGGUGAUCUGCCCUGCACUUUGGGAUAAGCCUGGGAAACUGGGUCUAAUACCGAAUAGGACCACGCGCUUCAUGGUGUGUGGUGGAAAGCUUUUGCGGUGUGGGAUGGGCCCGCGGCCUAUCAGCUUGUUGGUGGGGUAAUGGCCUACCAAGGCGACGACGGGUAGCCGGCCUGAGAGGGUGACCGGCCACACUGGGACUGAGAUACGGCCCAGACUCCUACGGGAGGCAGCAGUGGGGAAUAUUGCACAAUGGGCGCAAGCCUGAUGCAGCGACGCCGCGUGAGGGAUGACGGCCUUCGGGUUGUAAACCUCUUUCAAUAGGGACGAAGCGCAAGUGACGGUACCUAUAGAAGAAGCACCGGCCAACUACGUGCCAGCAGCCGCGGUAAUACGUAGGGUGCGAGCGUUGUCCGGAAUUACUGGGCGUAAAGAGCUCGUAGGUGGUUUGUCGCGUUGUUCGUGAAAACUCACAGCUUAACUGUGGGCGUGCGGGCGAUACGGGCAGACUAGAGUACUGCAGGGGAGACUGGAAUUCCCUGGUGUAGCGGUGGAAUGCGCAGAUAUCAGGAGGAACACCGGUGGCGAAGGCGGGUCUCUGGGCAGUAACUGACGCUGAGGAGCGAAAGCGUGGGGAGCGAACAGGAUUAGAUACCCUGGUAGUCCACGCCGUAAACGGUGGGUACUAGGUGUGGGUUCCUUCCUUGGGAAUCCGUGCCGUAGCUAACGCAUUAAGUACCCCGCCUGGGGAGUACGGCCGCAAGGCUAAAACUCAAAGGAAUUGACGGGGGCCCGCACAAGCGGCGGAGCAUGUGGAUUAAUUCGAUGCAACGCGAAGAACCUUACCUGGGUUUGACAUGCACAGGACGCCGGCAGAGAUGUCGGUUCCCUUGUGGCCUGUGUGCAGGUGGUGCAUGGCUGUCGUCAGCUCGUGUCGUGAGAUGUUGGGUUAAGUCCCGCAACGAGCGCAACCCUUGUCCUAUGUUGCCAGCGGGUUAUGCCGGGGACUCGUAGGAGACUGCCGGGGUCAACUCGGAGGAAGGUGGGGAUGACGUCAAGUCAUCAUGCCCCUUAUGUCCAGGGCUUCACACAUGCUACAAUGGCCGGUACAAAGGGCUGCGAUGCCGUGAGGUGGAGCGAAUCCUUUCAAAGCCGGUCUCAGUUCGGAUCGGGGUCUGCAACUCGACCCCGUGAAGUCGGAGUCGCUAGUAAUCGCAGAUCAGCAACGCUGCGGUGAAUACGUUCCCGGGCCUUGUACACACCGCCCGUCACGUCAUGAAAGUCGGUAACACCCGAAGCCGGU
This 1357-nucleotide ribosomal RNA is filed under the name Mycobacterium sp. MI21.2. RNAcentral describes it as "16S ribosomal RNA". It matches the Rfam family "Bacterial small subunit ribosomal RNA", at positions 61 to 1431 of the family's 1533-position model. The record is from RNAcentral. Lineage: Bacteria; Bacillati; Actinomycetota; Actinomycetes; Mycobacteriales; Mycobacteriaceae.